This 617-nucleotide ribosomal RNA is filed under the name uncultured bacterium. Its description in RNAcentral is "bacterial SSU rRNA". It matches the Rfam family "Bacterial small subunit ribosomal RNA", at positions 114 to 747 of the family's 1533-position model. The record is from RNAcentral.
CGCGUGGGUAACCUGCCUUACACAGGGGGAUAACACUUAGAAAUAGGUGCUAAUACCGCAUGAGCGCACAGGACCGCAUGGUCGAGUGUGAAAAACUGAGGUGGUGUAAGAUGGACCCGCGUCUGAUUAGCUGGUUGGUGAGGUAACGGCCCACCAAGGCGACGAUCAGUAGCCGGCCUGAGAGGGUGGACGGCCACAUUGGGACUGAGACACGGCCCAAACUCCUACGGGAGGCAGCGGUGGGGGAUAUUGGACAAUGGGGGGAACCCUGAUCCAGCGACGCCGCGUGAGUGAAGAAGUAUCUCGGUAUGUAAAGCUCUAUCAGCAGGGAAGAAGAAAUGACGGUACCUGAGUAAGAAGCCCCGGCUAACUACGUGCCAGCAGCCGCGGUAAUACGUAGGGGGCAAGCGUUAUCCGGAAUUACUGGGUGUAAAGGGAGCGUAGACGGUGAUGUAACUCUGGAGUGAAAGGCGGGGGCCCAACCCCCGGACUGCUCUGGAAACUAUGUGACUGGAGUGCAGGAGAGGUGAGCGGAAUUCCUAGUGUAGCGGUGAAAUGCGUAGAUAUUAGGAGGAACACCUGUGGCGAAGGCGGCUCACUGGACUGUAACUGACGUU